This 3280-nucleotide long non-coding RNA is filed under the name Triticum aestivum (bread wheat). RNAcentral's name for it is "long non-coding RNA (TAES_LNC023552)". Lineage: Eukaryota; Viridiplantae; Streptophyta; Magnoliopsida; Poales; Poaceae. The record is from RNAcentral.
GGUUCUGAGUUUAGUGGCCGUUGUCGAGUGUUUGUGAAGGAAUGUAAUAAUGAAAAGAUGAGACUAUGUGGCUAGCUAGAGUCGUAAAUGUUUUUCACAUUUCUCUUUUGAACGACGACAGGAAAUGUGUUGCUUCGCAUCUGAUCAAUGAACUCACGAAUUUUCUUUUUCUUUUUGCGAACAAUGAACUCAGGAUUUGAUGGCUGGAAGGUUGGUGGUGUCUCAGCUUUGGUUGCUUCAUUUGAACCUCAGUUGACAUGAAUCACACUUCAGAAAUCAUAUGUGCGUGUCAAUCAGACAUGUUCAUUAUAUCUACAAAUGUAUCUGUUGUAUUCUUCAUAUUGUGCACCCUUUUAAGCUCAGAACUUUCAUCUGUACUUAAUCCAUCAACGGAUAGUGGCCAAAUAAUUUUAUGCCAUUGGUUGUUUAAACAGGGCAUCCAGGAUGCACCUUCUGCAAGUGAGGCUGAAUCGGUGGACACAGAACAAAUAAACAACAUUGGACAACCGAAGAGGUGUUUGAACGAAUUGAUGGUCUGGAAGAAUUUGGAGCUAGACGUUGGUCUGAGAUAAUAAAGAAAUAUUUUUCAGCGUCAGUUUGAACUGCGGUCAAUCUUAAGGUUUAUGUUUGGUGCAUUUGUCUCAUGUUGAUGUUACCUUGUCUCGCCGACAUCAAAUUAUUUGCCCUAGGUCCGCUACUAGUACAAUCUAGCAGUGCCUGGAAACAUGAUGUGUGGCUACCUCAUGUUCGCUGAAUAUGUAAGAGUUGUCCCCUAUGUUACUGUACAGAUCGUUCAACAACUGGUGAUGUUUGGAAAGGGUCUCGUUGUUGUUGCACAUGCAUGUCAAGCAAAAGGUUCUUAAGGGUGACUCAGAUAUGUUUCUACAUUCUGGUUCCAAAAUGGCACAAGGAUAUUCAGCACAUGAGAACCUCUUCUGCAAGUUCAAAUUAUUUCAAAAUAAUAGCUAAGCAGCUUAAGAUCUAGAACCGUACACAGAAAUACGAAGGAUGGUGGACUGUUGUACAACACAAAUCAUCCAAAAGAAAUCAGUCAUCGCACAUCAAGUCUGUCAAAAAUGGCAUCAAAUGCACAACUGAACCCUGAACAGAAAAUUUCGACUGAACAAUGGCACUGAGUACAAAAUAUAACCUUGAAUAGAAAAUGACCUCCAAGUUCAUUUUUCUAACUUUGACUAACAAGCAAAUCGAAGCACUAUGAUCAGUUCAGCACAACACGGUCCCACCCUAUCUCCGUUUAUUGUGCACGCUCCUUCGGCUUUCUUCUGCGUAGUCGUGUGGUUUCUUCCCCACUCGAUUUGGAUAGAAUAUGUUGUGUCGUCCUCUUCCUCACUUCAUGCUAACUCGGCUCCCCAUCGACAUGCUGAGCCAUCAUAUUGGAAUGAGCAGAAGAUCACAUGCUUCAUGCUGACCUUCAGGAAAUGGAUCAAUCUACCGUCCGUCAUCUUUGUAUCAAACCAAGGGAUCCCAUCCCAUGUUCCACCCUGGCCUUCAAAAGAAUGAACCAAUGAGUCGGAAGAUUCAGCUACCAACAUAUCUUAAUGUAGACCCUAGAAAAAUGAUAUCUUAAUGUAUGAUAAUAUAAAUACUUACAGUAUCUUGUCAUGCACAUUAGUUGUAAAACAACUAAGCAUUUGUUAAAUCUUUAGAUUCAUCUGUGGAAUUAUGCAAGAUGCUAGUGCAUCUACACCAUUGUUUCGUGAAUAGUUCAGCAGAGAAGAGUGCAUCAAGGCAAAACAAUAACUACAACUGAAAAGCAUAAAAAUAACCAUGUCCACACAUCAAAACAUAAAAUUAUGACCUACACAUAAGAUCUUUUGAAUUGUUACUACUCCCACAAUUACAUGUCGAUAUAUAUUGUUGGCGUCUGUACUGUGUAGGUCCAAUAACAAAAUAGAAUGUUUUUUAGAUAAUGGCAUCUUCUGCGUGGCAUUCACAACAGAAACAAGGAAUGCCUAAUCUGGUUUUUGUAUUUUAGCAUAGGGAACUGAGAUAAGCUGUUCUUUGUACAGAGAGUAGGCAUUAGUAAAAUUAUAUUAAAAAGCUAUAAUUCAACUGCACCAAACUCCACUGUUAAGCAUCAAAACGACGGAACAAAUAUUUAACUCCACUGUUAAACAAAUGAAGAAGCACUGCCAUUUGGUAAUUCACAGCUCUUAACAGUUCUAUCUAGCAAAUCUGAGGCCAAGAAACUCAACUCCACGUUAAGCAUCAAAACGACGGAACAAAUAUUCCGAGUCCAAGCUCCGCAGGCGUUUGAGUAGCCGGAUUUGCCAAGUCUGGUUGCAGAUGCUCUUCAGGGUACAGAGUGCACACCCACCUCACACAAUAGAUUUUAUAUGUGCCGGCUCAUAUAAGGUGUUAAACUAACACGAAGCUCUAGCGGGGAAGAUCGCUUCAACUUUCGGGUUUUUUCGAUUUUGGGAAGCUUCUAAUAGCUUCCAGACAGGAAUAUUUUUUGCUGGGUUUCAUGGGUUUGAUUGGCCGGUUAUAAUGGGUUUUUUAUUUUUUUUCUCUUUUUUUUAAAUCAUGAACUUUUUCAAAUUCAUGAUCAAUUUUUUGAAAUUUGGGAACUUUUUCAACUUCAUGAACAUUUUUUGAAUCCACGAAAUUUUUCCAAACUCAUGAUUUUUUUUUCAAAUUUAGAAUCAUGAAAUGUUUGCAUAUGUACAAACUUUUUUUUCAAAUUUAGAAUCAUGAACUUUUUUGAGAUGCAUAUACUUCUUUGAAUUCACAAACUUUUUAAAAAAAUUUGGAACCAUGAUUUUUUUUUCAGAUGCAUGAUUUUCUUUUUGAAUUCAUGAACUUUUCAAAUUUAAAACCGUGAACCUUUUUAGAUGCAUGAAAUUUUUUUGAUUCCCCAAAUUGGUAUCAAAUUCAUAAUUGUGAACAUUUUUGAAUUCAUUAACUGUUUUCAAGAUCGUGAACUUUUUCAAAUGCACAGACUUUUUCCAUUUUCGUGUUUUUUAAUGGCCAAACGGGAAACUAGUCAACUAGUCAAUGAUGAAAUGGUGAACUGGUCAAUGGUCAAAUUGAUUAAAAAAGCAACCGAGACGCAUGAGCAAGUGUUCCUGUGUGUGCAACGAGAGCUGGGACACGAUGUACUUCAUCGAGGGUGUUGUUGCCUCUUGCCUGCUGCUUGAUACUGUUGCCUACUGCUUGAUGCUGCCUGUUGAUCUUACUUUUAAAAAAAAAAGGAGGAUGUAUCCCCGGUAUCUGCAUCUGAACGAUGCAUGCAGUCAUAUUAUUAAUUAUUCUGAAG